CAGCCGCCGCGGUAAUACGUAGGUGGCAAGCGUUAUCCGGAAUUAUUGGGCGUAAAGCGCGCGUAGGCGGUUUUUUAAGUCUGAUGUGAAAGCCCACGGCUCAACCGUGGAGGGUCAUUGGAAACUGGAAAACUUGAGUGCAGAAGAGGAAAGUGGAAUUCCAUGUGUAGCGGUGAAAUGCGCAGAGAUAUGGAGGAACACCAGUGGCGAAGGCGACUUUCUGGUCUGUAACUGACGCUGAUGUGCAAAAGCGUGGGGAUCAAACAGGAUUAGAUACCCCAGUAGUCCCUGUCUCUUAUAC
Molecule: ribosomal RNA, 301 nt
Filed under: uncultured bacterium
Lineage: Bacteria
Description: partial 16S ribosomal RNA
Rfam family: Bacterial small subunit ribosomal RNA
Source: RNAcentral